RNAcentral lists this transfer RNA (72 nucleotides) under Camelus bactrianus (Bactrian camel). It matches the Rfam family "tRNA". Rfam says of the family: Transfer RNA (tRNA) molecules are approximately 80 nucleotides in length. Their secondary structure includes four short double-helical elements and three loops (D, anti-codon, and T loops). Further hydrogen bonds mediate the characteristic L-shaped molecular structure. tRNAs have two regions of fundamental functional importance: the anti-codon, which is responsible for specific mRNA codon recognition, and the 3' end, to which the tRNAs corresponding amino acid is attached (by aminoacyl-tRNA synthetases). tRNAs cope with the degeneracy of the genetic code in two manners: having more than one tRNA (with a specific anti-codon) for a particular amino acid; and 'wobble' base-pairing, i.e. permitting non-standard base-pairing at the 3rd anti-codon position. The record is from Rfam by way of RNAcentral. Lineage: Eukaryota; Metazoa; Chordata; Mammalia; Artiodactyla; Camelidae. RNAcentral also lists the same sequence under 2 other names.
GAGGGUAUAGCUCAGUGGUAUAGUGUGUGCUUAGUAUGCACUAGGUCAUGGGUUCGAUCCCUAGUGUCUUCA